This 2082-nucleotide ribosomal RNA is filed under the name human gut metagenome. RNAcentral describes it as "bacterial LSU rRNA". It matches the Rfam family "Bacterial large subunit ribosomal RNA", at positions 830 to 2925 of the family's 2925-position model. The record is from RNAcentral.
CAAUCGAACCCGGAGAUAGCUGGUUCUCCCCGAAAUAGCUUUAGGGCUAGCGUCGGAAAGAACCUUAGUGAAGGUAGAGCACUGAAUGUGUGAUGGCCCCAUCCCGGGGUACUGAAUACAAUCAAACUGCGAAUGUCAUUAAGGAUGUCCGGCAGUCAGACUGUGAGUGAUAAGGUCCAUGGUCAAGAGGGAAACAGCCCAGACCGCCAGUUAAGGUCCCAAAAUACAGGCUAAGUGGAAAAGGAUGUGGGGAUGCCCAGACAACUAGGAGGUUGGCUCAGAAGCAGCCAUCCUUUAAAGAGUGCGUAACAGCUCACUAGUCGAGUGACCCUGCGCCGAAAAUGUACCGGGGCUAAGCCUGAUACCGAAACUGCGGAUUGUAGGAAACUAUAGUGGUAGGGGAGCGUUGUAUACGAGCAGAAGCCGUACCGUGAGGAGCGGUGGAUUGUAUAGAAGUGAGAAUGCCGGUGUGAGUAGCGAGAUGUAGGUGAGAAUCCUACACACCGAAAGCCCAAGGAUUCCAGGGGAAGGUUCGUCCGCCCUGGGUAAGUCGGGACCUAACGCGAGGCCGAAAGGCGUAGUGGAUGGAAAGCAGGCGAAAGAUUCCUGCACCCGUAUAUGGAGCGAAGGAGUGACGGAGACGGAUAGUGUGACCCUCUUAAUGGAUUGAGGGCGAAGCGAAGCGGCUGGUUACCAGGCAAAUCCGGUAACCAAAAGGCUAGAGCGUGACAGGUAAGCGAAAUCUUCGGAAAGUAGCGAAGCACAUGAUGACGGCUUCCAGGAAAAGCUUCUGGCAAUGCAUAUGCGGCCCGUACCAAAACCGACACAGGUGGGCAGGGAGAGAAUCCCGAGGUGAGCGAGAGAACUGUUGCCAAGGAACUCGGCAAAAUGACUCCGUAAGUUAGCGAGAAGGAGUGCUUAAGCAAUUAAGCCGCAGUGAAGAGGCCCAAGCGACUGUUUAACUAAAACACAGCUCUCUGCGAAGUCGCAAGACGAAGUAUAGGGGGUGACACCUGCCCGGUGCUGGAAGGUUAAGAGGAUCUGUUAAGAGCGAUCUGAAGCAGUGAUCCGAAGCCCCAGUGAACGGCGGCCGUAACUAUAACGGUCCUAAGGUAGCGAAAUUCCUUGUCAGGUAAGUUCUGACCCGCACGAAAGGUGUAACGAUUUGGGCGCUGUCUCGGCAGCAGACUCGGUGAAAUCUUAGUACCUGUGAAAAUGCAGGUUACCCGCAACUAGACGGAAAGACCCCAUGGAGCUUUACUGCAGCCUGAUAUUGAAUUCUGGUCAUACAUGUACAGGAUAGGUGGGAGACAAAGAGACGUGCACGCCAGUGUACGAGGAGUCGACGUUGGGAUACCACUCUUGUGUGACCGGGGUUCUAACCUGGUAUCGAGAACAGGUACGGGGAGAGUGUCAGGUGGGCAGUUUGACUGGGGCGGUCGCCUCCCAAAGAGUAACGGAGGCGCCCAAAGGUUCCCUCAGCGCGGCCGGAAAUCGCGCGAAGAGUGUAAAGGCAGAAGGGAGCUUGACUGAGAGCCAAACACGGCGAUCAGGUACGAAAGUAGGGCUUAGUGAUCCGGUGGCAUCCAAGUGGAAGGGCCAUCGCUCAACGGAUAAAAGCUACCCUGGGGAUAACAGGCUAAUCUCUCCCAAGAGUCCAUAUCGACGGGGAGGUUUGGCACCUCGAUGUCGGCUCAUCACAUCCUGGGGCUGAAGUCGGUCCCAAGGGUUGGGCUGUUCGCCCAUUAAAGUGGUACGUGAGCUGGGUUCAGAACGUCGUGAGACAGUUCGGUCCCUAUCCAUCGCGGGCGCAAGAGAUUUGAAGGGGGCUGCUCCUAGUACGAGAGGACCGGAGUGGACGAACCAAUGGUGUACCAAUUAUCUCGCCAGAGGUAUAGUUGGGUAGCUACGUUCGGAAAGGAUAAACGCUGAAAGCAUCUAAGCGUGAAACCAGCCUUAAGAUGAGAUCUCUCAUAGAGUAAUCUAGUAAGACACCUUGGAGAAGACGAGGUUGAUAGGUCGGGAGUGUAAGUACAGUAAUGUAUUCAGCGGACCGAUACUAAUAUGUCGAGGGCUUGACUU